RNAcentral lists this transfer RNA (80 nucleotides) under Brassica napus (rape). Its description in RNAcentral is "tRNA-Leu (TAG) (tRNA-Leu-TAG-12-1)". It matches the Rfam family "tRNA". Rfam says of the family: Transfer RNA (tRNA) molecules are approximately 80 nucleotides in length. Their secondary structure includes four short double-helical elements and three loops (D, anti-codon, and T loops). Lineage: Eukaryota; Viridiplantae; Streptophyta; Magnoliopsida; Brassicales; Brassicaceae. The record is from Rfam by way of RNAcentral.
GACAGUUUGGCCGAGUGGUCUAAGGCGCCAGAUUUAGGCUCUGGUCCGAAAGGGCGUGGUUUCAAAUACCACAGCUGUCA